GUUCCUUGCUAGGGGUCUGUAAAUCCUUCAUUUCAUUCGAAGUUUUUACAGUGAGAGUUACCCUUCGAACCUGAUGCGGGUUAUUCCGCCGUAGGGAAUGCAUAUCUCCGCGCAU
Molecule: non-coding RNA, 115 nt
Filed under: Methylophilus sp.
Lineage: Bacteria; Pseudomonadati; Pseudomonadota; Betaproteobacteria; Nitrosomonadales; Methylophilaceae
Description: TPP sequence
Rfam family: TPP riboswitch aptamer (THI element)
About the family: Vitamin B(1) in its active form thiamin pyrophosphate (TPP) is an essential coenzyme that is synthesised by coupling of pyrimidine and thiazole moieties in bacteria. The previously detected thiamin-regulatory element, thi box was extended, resulting in a new, highly conserved RNA secondary structure, the THI element, which is widely distributed in eubacteria and also occurs in some archaea.
Source: RNAcentral